RNAcentral lists this ribosomal RNA (622 nucleotides) under Myxococcus sp. RNAcentral describes it as "bacterial SSU rRNA". It matches the Rfam family "Bacterial small subunit ribosomal RNA", at positions 57 to 660 of the family's 1533-position model. Lineage: Bacteria; Pseudomonadati; Myxococcota; Myxococcia; Myxococcales; Myxococcaceae. The record is from RNAcentral.
GCAGUCGAGCGCGAAUAGGGGCAACCCUUAGUAGAGCGGCGCACGGGUGCGUAACACGUGGAUAAUCUGCCUGGAUGCUCGGGAUAACCAGUCGAAAGAUUGGCUAAUACCGGAUAAGCCCACGGUUUCUUCGGAGACUGAGGGAAAAGGUGGCCUCUGUAUACAAGCUAUCACAACCAGAUGAGUCCGCGGCCCAUCAGCUAGUUGGCGGGGUAAUGGCCCACCAAGGCGACGACGGGUAGCUGGUCUGAGAGGACGAUCAGCCACACUGGAACUGAGACACGGUCCAGACUCCUACGGGAGGCAGCAGUGGGGAAUUUUGCGCAAUGGGCGAAAGCCUGACGCAGCAACGCCGCGUGUGUGAUGAAGGUCUUCGGAUUGUAAAGCACUUUCGACCGGGACGAAAACCCGUAGCCCAACACGCUACGGCUUGACGGUACCGGGAGAAGAAGCACCGGCUAACUCUGUGCCAGCAGCCGCGGUAAUACAGAGGGUGCAAGCGUUGUUCGGAAUUAUUGGGCGUAAAGCGCGUGUAGGCGGCGUGACAAGUCGGGUGUGAAAGCCCUCAGCUCAACUGAGGAAGUGCGCCCGAAACUGUCGUGCUUGAGUGCCGGAGAGGGUG